UGGGGAAUUUUGGACAAUGGGCGAAAGCCUGAUCCAGCAAUGCCGCGUGUGUGAAGAAGGCCUUCGGGUUGUAAAGCACUUUUGUCCGGAAAGAAAUCCUUGGCUCUAAUACAGUCGGGGGAUGACGGUACCGGAAGAAUAAGCACCGGCUAACUACGUGCCAGCAGCCGCGGUAAUACGUAGGGUGCAAGCGUUAAUCGGAAUUACUGGGCGUAAAGCGUGCGCAGGCGGUUUGCUAAGACCGAUGUGAAAUCCCGGGCUCAACCUGGGAACUGCAUUGGUGGCUGGCAGGCUAGAGUAUGGCAGAGGGGGGUAGAAUUCCACGUGUAGCAGUGAAAUGCGUAGAGAUGUGGAGGAAUACCGAUGGCGAAGGCAGCCCCCUGGGCCAAUACUGACGCUCAUGCACGAAAGCGUGGGGAGCAAACAGGAUUAGAUACCCUGGGAUA
This 446-nucleotide ribosomal RNA is filed under the name uncultured bacterium. RNAcentral's name for it is "partial 16S ribosomal RNA". It matches the Rfam family "Bacterial small subunit ribosomal RNA", at positions 355 to 792 of the family's 1533-position model. The record is from RNAcentral.